This 253-nucleotide ribosomal RNA is filed under the name uncultured bacterium. RNAcentral describes it as "partial 16S ribosomal RNA". It matches the Rfam family "Bacterial small subunit ribosomal RNA", at positions 524 to 776 of the family's 1533-position model. The record is from RNAcentral.
GACGAACCGUGCGAACGUUAUUCGGAAUCACUGGGCUUAAAGCGCGUGUAGGCGGCCCUGCAAGUCGGGUGUGAAAUCCCACGGCUCAACCGUGGAAGUGCACUCGAAACUGCAGGGCUAGAGUCCUGGAGAGGAAGGCGGAAUGCUUGGUGUAGAGGUGAAAUUCGUAGAUAUCAAGCGGAACACCGGUGGCGAAGGCGGCCUUCUGGACAGUGACUGACGCUGAGACGCGAAAGCGUGGGGAGCAAACAGG